Molecule: transfer RNA, 90 nt
Filed under: Candidatus Berkelbacteria bacterium
Lineage: Bacteria; Candidatus Berkelbacteria
Description: tRNA-Ser
Rfam family: tRNA
About the family: Transfer RNA (tRNA) molecules are approximately 80 nucleotides in length. Their secondary structure includes four short double-helical elements and three loops (D, anti-codon, and T loops).
Source: RNAcentral
GGUGAGGUGCCAGAGUGGCCGAAUGGAGCGCACUGCUAAUGCGUUGUCUCCGCAAGGGGACCGUGGGUUCGAAUCCCACCCUCACCGCCA